AUACCGAGGCGAUCGGGCGAACUAUGGUUAAGGAACUCGGCAAAUUACCCCCGUAACUUCGGGAGAAGGGGGGCCACAGACUGUCAAACUCCAUGCGGGUGGCAGCGGUAGGUGGCCGCAGAGACCAGGGGGAAGCGACUGUUUACUAAAAACACAGGUCCGUGCGAAGUCGUAAGACGAUGUAUACGGACUGACGCCUGCCCGGUGCUGGAACGUUAAGGGGACCGGUUAGUCCGCAAGGGCGAGGCUGAGAACUUAAGCGCCAGUAAACGGCGGUGGUAACUAUAACCAUCCUAAGGUAGCGAAAUUCCUUGUCGGGUAAGUUCCGACCUGCACGAAUGGCGUAACGACUUCCCUACUGUCUCAACCAUAGGCCCGGCGAAAUUGCACUACGAGUAAAGAUGCUCGUUACGCGCGGAAGGACGGAAAGACCCCGGGACCUUCACUAUAGCUUGACAUUGGUACUCGAAUUGAAUUGUGUAGGAUAGGUGGGAGACUUUGAAGCUCGGACGCAGUUCGGGUGGAGUCAAACUUGAAAUACCACUCUGUUGAAUUUGGGUAUCUAACUUCGGACCGUGAUCCGGUUCAGGGACAGUGUCUGGUGGGUAGUUUAACUGGGGCGGUUGCCUCCUAAAAUGUAACGGAGGCGCCCAAAGGUUCCCUCAGCCUGGUUGGCAAUCAGGUGUUGAGUGCAAGUGCACAAGGGAGCUUGACUGUGAGACUGACAGGUCGAGCAGGGACGAAAGUCGGGACUAGUGAUCCGGCACCUGCGAGUGGAAGCGGUGUCGCUCAACGGAUAAAAGGUACCCCGGGGAUAACAGGCUGAUCUUCCCCAAGAGUCCAUAUCGACGGGAUGGUUUGGCACCUCGAUGUCGGCUCGUCGCAUCCUGGGGCUGGAGUAGGUCCCAAGGGUUGGGCUGUUCGCCCAUUAAAGCGGCACGCGAGCUGGGUUUAGAACGUCGUGAGACAGUUCGGUCCCUAUCCUCCGCGCGCGCAGGAGACUUGAGAAGGGCCGUCCCUAGUACGAGAGGACCGGGACGGACGAACCUCUGGUGUGCCAGUUGUCAUGCCAAUGGCACGGCUGGUUAGCUACGUUCGGAAGGGAUAACCGCUGAAAGCAUCUAAGCGGGAAGCCUGCUUCAAGAUGAGGUCUCCCACCCCUUGAGGGUUAAGGCCCCCAGCUAGACCACUGGGUUGAUAGGCCAGAAGUGUAAGCCUGGUAACAGGUUCAGCCGACUGGUACUAAUAGGCCGAGGACUUAACUA
Molecule: ribosomal RNA, 1265 nt
Filed under: metagenome
Description: bacterial LSU rRNA
Rfam family: Bacterial large subunit ribosomal RNA
Source: RNAcentral